CGGUGUUUAACUGGCGUGAUGUGGGACGUCCUACCGGUGGGCUUAGCCUCGCGAGGGGCGGCCCAACUAAUAUCCCGUCGCGGCGCUCUUUACUGAGUGUCGAGUCGGGCCGGUACGUUUACUUUGAACAAAUUAGAGUGCUUAAAGCAGGCUAUCCUCGCCUGAAUACUGCGUGCAUGGAAUAAUGGAAUAGGACCUCGGUUCUAUUUUGUUGGUUUUCGGAACCCCGAGGUAAUGAUUAAUAGGGACAGAUGGGGGCAUUCGUAUUGCGACGUUAGAGGUGAAAUUCUUGGAUCGUCGCAAGACGGACAGAAGCGAAAGCAUUUGCCAAAAAUGUUUUCAUUAAUCAAGAACGAAAGUUAGAGGUUCGAAGGCGAUCAGAUACCGCCCUAGUUCUAACCAUAAACGAUGCCAGCUAGCGAUCCGCCGAAGUUCCUCCGAUGACUCGGCGGGCAGCUUCCGGGAAACCAAAGCUUUUGGGUUCCGGGGGAAGUAUGGUUGCAAAGCUGAAACUUAAAGGAAUUGACGGAAGGGCACCACCAGGAGUGGAGCCUGCGGCUUAAUUUGACUCAACACGGGAAACCUCACCAGGCCCAGACACCGGAAGGAUUGACAGAUUGAUAGCUCUUUCUUGAUUCGGUGGGUGGUGGUGCAUGGCCGUUCUUAGUUGGUGGAGCGAUUUGUCUGGUUAAUUCCGAUAACGAACGAGACUCUAGCCUGCUAAAUAGGCGUACCUUAUGGUAUCGCGAAGGCCCCCGGCUUCGGCCGGUGGGUUUUUACUACCAACGUACAAACAAAUCUUCUUAGAGGGACAGGCGG
This 819-nucleotide ribosomal RNA is filed under the name uncultured eukaryote. RNAcentral's name for it is "SSU rRNA". It matches the Rfam family "Eukaryotic small subunit ribosomal RNA", at positions 629 to 1426 of the family's 1831-position model. The record is from RNAcentral.